AGGCCUCGUGUUUUGGCAGUGAAGCGCUUACCUGGGCUGCCAGCACGCUGCCUGAUCCCCCUGCCCUGCCAGGGGCUGUGCUGUGCUUCUGGAGGAAUUUGAGCAAGGGGUAUCAGCUCUCACCUGGCUUCUCCCUGUUGAAGAGGUGUGCCAUUCUUACUGAAGGCAUGCAUAUGAAGAUUCAAAAAUGAGCACAGCCACAGAAGCAUUAGUAUGCAAUUAAGCCACAGGGCAGGCAACCUGAACAAGCCAGUAUACCAUUGGGUCAACAAAGCACAAAACACCUGGGCUCAAUGCACUGAAUUGGUGGGUGCUAAUUAGCUCAGUCUUUAAUACUUCCCCUAAUGAGCCUGUAUAAGCACUCUGCAUUGGGCUGCUCACCAGGAGAAGUUCUCCUGAUCCUCCAGAGCUGCUGCUCUCCUAUAGAGGCAGCUGUGCUGCAUGCAGGGCUGGCACCUCAUGCUAGGGCUGGUGCUGCAUCAGCUCUGCAGUGCUACCUGGCUGCAAACUGACUGGAGUCAAAUCCAACAAAACCUGGCUGCUGCAACUAUCACGAUGCUUGCCCUCCGGCCGGCAUGCUGGAUAACUGGCUUCCAAGGCAGUCAUUAAUCUCCCCCCAUUACCCAGCUGGCACAGGAAUUCACUGAGAGAGGAGAGCUGCCUGUGUGCCCUCCCAGUGGCAGCUCCCCAAGCCAUGGAGCGUUGCUCCUCCAAUGCACCGGAGCAACGCUCAAGGAAGCAGGGAUGUCACCAAGCACCAUCAGAGGAUCUUGGAUACGUGGGAUGAAUGCAACCUGCCUGUUGGCAACUGCGGAAGAAAGAAGCAGCGUGCAUCUCCAGGGAAAGAUGGCUGGGAUCAGAGCUAAGUUUAGAGAGUUACUUAGUCCACAGCAAUAGCAGCAGAGAGCAGCCCGAUGUAUGCAAGCUAUGCAAGUGAAAGGAAGAUGCACAUAAGCCUUCAGCAAGAAAAUACAGCUCAGCAGUACUGUGCUUUCAUCCAACCAUUGGGUUUUGACCCAUCUGGGGUGACAGGGCUGAAAGUGCAUCAGGAGGUAUGUAAUUAACUGAGUGCAGACAGGAGCUGCUGCUCCAGCAAAGCCCUGGUGAAAUGAAAACAAAGCAGGCUGAGAAAGCAACAAUGCACCGUCUACUAAAGAAGACAAAGUAAUCAGAAACAAGUUUUGUGCCCUUCCUACCUGAAACAGCCAUCUCCCUGCCUCCCACUGCUGUGUGGGAAUGUUUGAGCAUCUGCAUCGAAACACAAGUAACUUUUUCAGAGUGUUUUCUUGGCGUGUCAGCGAGAUGAUGCACAACAAACCUGUCAUAUCCUCUUGGUAACAGUGUUCAUUUGCCACUUUUCUGCACAAGAGCAUUGUGUAUACACACAACACUACACUAACCUGCAUUUGAUCUGGUGGUAGGACCAUAGUUCUCCCACGGCGAGGAAAAACACAGACAAGUUUUUGAUCUUCCUUAAAGCAAUGCUUAUCUCAGUUUUGUUUGUUUUCUGUUUUUUGAGUGCAGGGUAGCGUCUGAUGUGCAUGCCACCCACCACAGCUUAUCUCGGCAGCGAAGCAACCAUUGCAAACCAAAAUAACAGCAUCUUCCUCUGUGCCUGCCCUUCAAGCAGUGACAGGCAUGUUUUGGUAUCGCAGACCCCAGGGCGUUAAGCACCAGUCUCGCACCUGCACACUUGCUGAGAAAUGAGGGGUCCUUUGUUAAGGCCGGCGGAUUACAGGCAAGACGGCUCAAGCAACCCUUUCCUGAGGAUCCUUUGGAAGCACCGUCCCCCCUCAGCCCAAGCAAGCCUCCAAAAAUGUAAUUUUAGAACGUCUGCAGGAUGAGCAUCUACAGCAAGAGUUCAAAGCAAUGCCCAGCCAAGAAAAUGAGUGUAAAGCAUGGGGCAUCAGCACGGAGCACUGACCUGCACUCCUGGGGAGCCCAGCUGGAGACAAGCAGCCCCUGCAGCUGCCCACAGCUCCUCAACUUCCCAGUGCGAGGACUCUGGCAAGGCCGUGAGAAAACACGACCUCCACCAUCCCCAAGCACUGCUGGGGCCUCCAGCUGCUGGUCCCUUCCUUGCUAUCUGCAGGCACUUUCCGGCUCACAAGCUGACACGCGAAGGGUAGCGACAACGACCCUGACGAGUCCCAGGGCAACAGAGGGAAGUGGUUUGAGAGGGGUUUGCUGGAGUCUGUGCACCCAACCAGCCCUCAACCACAUGUUUAGUCUUGUCCCAAUAGCUGUGUCAUUGGCAAGCAGAGGAGUUCAGCUGGCUACUUUCUCAUGAGCUUUUCAAGAGGGGCAAAAUGGAAAAGAAGCUUUGAGCAGGCAGAGGAAGGAACUCUUGGUUAGCUGGGGAGGAGACAGCCAUCAGCUGUCACACCGUCUGUCUGGCAGCAGCCGGCCAGGCAGCCCCACGCAAGCUUUCCGUCCCAAGCACAUCCUUCCUGGCAGGGAAGGACGCAGGCCCUCAGGAAGCUGCUGCUUCUCCUGCCACGCUCAGCAGUGGGGAUCCCAUAGGGCUCCCGGCGCCUAAAAUGUGUGCCAGAAAUAGAGCCCAGGAGGUGCUAUAUUUAGUGGAGCAAGUGGUGACUUAGGAAGGGCCCCUCCAGCAGAUGGGCAUGGCCUUGUGAUGGGUCCUGUUCCCCAGGUGAGAAUGCUGUGUUGUACCCAGGGAAACGUGCAGCAAUCUCCUCUCAGGGGAUUGCAGGGCGGUGAGGUGGAACGGAUGUCCCACCUCUGCAAGGAGACUUGGAGAGAAGAGCAUCUAAUUAAGACCACAGCUCCAGUUAAUUGAGCCCAAUUCACCUGUGACAUGAAGAGCCACAAUCCCAUCAGCAAUAAUGGGACUGCAUCGGCUUACACCAGUAAUUAUUCCAGAUCAGCAGUAUAACAAAGCUAAUUCAAUACUUCUGCAGGUCCAGCUGCUCAGGCUGCCAGGGGAGUGCUGGAGAUGGCCUCCCUUAUGCCCAGCCCCAAAAAGCUGGUGGUGCAGUGCACGCUAGCAAUCCCUGCUGAACUGUACUGCAGGGUGCUGGCAGGUGACUGUGUGCUUGGGGCCACGCUGGAUGUGGUAGGGUGUCGCGUGAGCUGCUGGCGUGGGCAGACAAGCAAAUUGACAGCUGCACAAUCCUGCCAUCAUCGCUACUGCUCCCAUGGGGCUUGGACAAGAGGAUGGGGAUGGGAAGCCUGCAUGGGGUGUCCUGGGCAUAUCAAGGACUGGGAAUGGCAGGGCAGGCCCUGGCUGCCUCAUUCAGGCUGCAGCCCGGAAUGUAGCCCAGCACAGCAAUUCUUUCCUACCUCCGGCCAAAGAAAACUCAGCUGCCACUGUUGUGAGGAGAGGAGCAUUACUGUAGGCCAGUCAAGUUUUGACUAGU
This is a long non-coding RNA of Tympanuchus pallidicinctus (lesser prairie-chicken), 3380 nucleotides long. RefSeq lists it as uncharacterized. NCBI's taxonomy places the organism in Eukaryota, Metazoa, Chordata, Aves, Galliformes, Phasianidae. The record is from RefSeq and is a predicted model, not a curated record. The transcript is spliced from 3 exons.